GACGAACGCUGGCGGCGUGCCUAAUACAUGCAAGUUGAGCGCUGAAGGUUGGUACUUGUACCGACUGGAUGAGCAGCGAACGGGUGAGUAACGCGUGGGGAAUCUGCCUUUGAGCGGGGGACAACAUUUGGAAACGAAUGCUAAUACCGCAUAAAAACUUUAAACACAAGUUUUAAGUUUGAAAGAUGCAAUUGCAUCACUCAAAGAUGAUCCCGCGUUGUAUUAGCUAGUUGGUGAGGUAAAGGCUCACCAAGGCGAUGAUACAUAGCCGACCUGAGAGGGUGAUCGGCCACAUUGGGACUGAGACACGGCCCAAACUCCUACAGGAGGCAGCAGUAGGGGAUCUUCGGCAAUGGACGAAAGUCUGACCGAGCAACGCCGCGUGAGUGAAGAAGGUUUUCGGAUCGUAAAACUCUGUUGGUAGAGAAGAACGUUGGUGAGAGUGGAAAGCUCAUCAAGUGACGGUAACUACCCAGAAAGGGACGGCUAACUACGUG
Molecule: ribosomal RNA, 497 nt
Filed under: uncultured bacterium
Lineage: Bacteria
Description: partial 16S ribosomal RNA
Rfam family: Bacterial small subunit ribosomal RNA
Source: RNAcentral